UGAUAAUUAGUUUAAACUAAAACAAGUGAUUUCGACUCACUAGAUUAUGUACUGACAUAAUUAUCAA
This 67-nucleotide transfer RNA is filed under the name Tamiops swinhoei. Its description in RNAcentral is "tRNA-Arg". The record is from RNAcentral. Lineage: Eukaryota; Metazoa; Chordata; Mammalia; Rodentia; Sciuridae.